UUUAUUAAGUAGUUUCUUUUCAUGUUUAUAACUUAGAAAUUACAUUAAGGUAUUCUGUUCUUUUCCAUUUGUUGCUAUGUGUGCUAGAGACAUGCUUUAAGAAUGGUUAUCUUUUCUUAAUGGCAUCCGAAGAGUAAGAUAUUAGGAUGCCAUUAAGCUAAUGGUUAUCUUUCCUAAGAGGUUUGCAUUGCCUUAAUUGUCUUCUUGAAAUACGCAUUACGAUGUACGUUGGUAGGUGCAAUUCCAGCUGCCAAACCUCCUUUGUCUUGAACUGCUUGCUGCUGUAAAUGAACUGCAAUGUCAUCCCAUUCUCAAUUGGGAAUUCUCUGCAAAAAUGACAAUAAUUGAUAUUCAUAUAGUUACAUAGGAAUACAUGAUCUGUCGAAUUAUUAAAGGGGCAAUAGAAACUUGAUGUUCACUCCAAGAUGCAAAAAUGAACACCACAAGGCUAUUGGCUACAGUUUAAACAAAACAAUAAUUGAAUCUCUCUUCUGGCAUAUUCUAUAUUAGACUUCAUCAAAUCUAGGAAGAAUGUGAAAAGUUUUAGUUUGACAGUCAUAUGAACAGUUUAUUGUAUGAACAACAAACCUAUAAUUGCAGGUAAGUAUUGUACUCCCAACAAACCUAGGAAAAAUGAUAACAAGUUAUGGUAUGACAUUAUUUGUUUCAUUUCAGUUUUUAAAAGCUUUGUCGUUUAUAUAUUGAAACAACAAGAACCAAGUAAAUUCUGACAUAUAAUGCAAGACGUAUUAUUUGUUAAGUCAGCUUGGUCACUUUGCCUAGUUGACUUCUUUUAUCCAGCAAUUUAGAUGCAUCAUGUAUAAGUCUUGGAGAAGAACCUGUAAUGAUGUACCAUUACCUUUGUCUUCAUUGUUCCGUUAGAUUCACCUUUUGUCUCUCUUCCUCUUCUCUCUUACUACUUGAUUUACUUGAGGUGAGUAUAUUACCUCAAGUACUGAUAAUUUCACAUGACUAGCCUUCAUACAUUAUAUUGAUUUGUUGAAAUUUAACUAUUGAUUUGCAGUUUGAAGAUUACAAAGAAAGCAACCGUAGUGGAAGAACAUUGAUAUCAAUUUCAGGACUCUUUGUGUGGACUUUGCAGUGAACAUAUAAAAGAAAUCAAGAAGGAAAAUCCUCGUCUAUCAAGACAUAAUGUGGAUCGAAUUCAUAAUGAAAGAUUUCAACUAUGGUUUAGAAAUCAUGUCGAGAAGAUGCAUAUGGCUGGUGAAAAAUAUCUGAGGAUAUUCAAACUUUAGCUAUUGGCCCAUUAAUACAAGCAAAAGAAUGACU
Molecule: long non-coding RNA, 1290 nt
Organism: Solanum tuberosum (potato)
Lineage: Eukaryota; Viridiplantae; Streptophyta; Magnoliopsida; Solanales; Solanaceae
Exons: 3
Source: RefSeq, a predicted model, not a curated record